Molecule: microRNA, 25 nt
Filed under: Rosa chinensis
Lineage: Eukaryota; Viridiplantae; Streptophyta; Magnoliopsida; Rosales; Rosaceae
Description: sRNA RchiOBHm_Chr1g0344416
Source: RNAcentral
GGCAUGACACCUAGGAUUUGAGGCC